Molecule: unclassified non-coding RNA, 206 nt
Filed under: Hevea brasiliensis (rubber tree)
Lineage: Eukaryota; Viridiplantae; Streptophyta; Magnoliopsida; Malpighiales; Euphorbiaceae
Source: RNAcentral
UUUUCCAAGAUAGAUUUGAGGGCUUAUUACCACCAAAUCAGGAUGUUGCCACAGGACAUUCCAAAGACUGCUUUUAGAACUCACCAUGGGCACUUUGAGUUUAAGGUAAUGCCAUUUAGGCUCACCAAUGCUCCUGCCAUAUUUCAGGCAUUGAUGAAUCAUAUCUUUCUUAAGAAAGUUUAUUUUGGUUUUCUUUGAUGACAUCU